UGGGCGGGGCCCUGGGCUUACCGGGCCCGACCACCCGACCCAGCUGGGAGUGGACGGGGCUAUUCCGCUCCAGGCCCUCGCAGGAAGAUGGUAGAGCCCACGAAGAGGCAGAUGCAGAGGUGCAGGUGCACCGUGGUGCGCGAGCCCUGGAUCGGCCGCACCAGCAGGAAGUGCCCCCUCCCACCCCCCGGAGGUGAUGCCACCUGGUGACUGCACAUCCUCGAACGGUGGACGCUGAGGUUAUUUAUGGGAAGUGUGCAGAGUUCUGACACAUAGCAGGCUCCAGGAACCGCCUCGACUACUUCUCCAGCUCCAGGCCAGCCUCACACUGUCUUCGCAGGGCCUCUACCUGUGCACAGUCUUGGGUCCUCCAGGUUGAGCUCCAAGCCGGGUGGGCAUUGGCAGGUGUAGCUGCCCUGGGUGUUGAUGCAGAUGCUGCGGCCUUUACAGAUUUUGGGUUUCUGCUGACAUUCAUCCACAUCUGCAAGGGGAAGGAGAGGAUGAUGGAUGCCUGCAGCUGUGGACAGCCUUCUGGGCUGGGGGUUGGCCACAUUUCCUGGCCUAGAAGCAUCCAGAAGGGCCCGCUCUCUCUUCCCCGGUGAGUGGGUCUUUUCUAAUUCACAUGGAGGCAUCCUAUGGGUGAGCAUGGCGGCCCAGAUGUUCUGUUGUCCAGAUGCGGCCAGGAGUGACCCAAGUCCUCCCCUGUCUGCCGGCUCUGGCUCUCUCAGCCUCCCUGGGAA
Molecule: long non-coding RNA, 740 nt
Organism: Eubalaena glacialis (North Atlantic right whale)
Lineage: Eukaryota; Metazoa; Chordata; Mammalia; Artiodactyla; Balaenidae
Exons: 4
Source: RefSeq, a predicted model, not a curated record